GACGAACGCUGGCGGCGUGCUUAACACAUGCAAGUCGAACGGAAAGGCCCUGCUUUUGUGGGGUGCUCGAUUGGCGAACGGGUGAGUAACACGUGAGUAACCUGCCCUUGACUUUGGGAUAACUUCAGGAAACUGGGGCUAAUACCGGAUAGGAGCUCCUGCUGCAUGGUGGGGGUUGGAAAGUUUCGGCGGUUGGGGAUGGACUCGCGGCUUAUCAGCUUGUUGGUGGGGUAGUGGCUUACCAAGGCUUUGACGGGUAGCCGGCCUGAGAGGGUGACCGGCCACAUUGGGACUGAGAUACGGCCCAGACUCCUACGGGAGGCAGCAGUGGGGAAUAUUGCACAAUGGGCGGAAGCCUGAUGCAGCAACGCCGCGUGCGGGAUGACGGCCUUCGGGUUGUAAACCGCUUUCGCCUGUGACGAAGCGUGAGUGACGGUAAUGGGUAAAGAAGCAACGGCUAACUACGUG
This 468-nucleotide ribosomal RNA is filed under the name uncultured bacterium. Its description in RNAcentral is "partial 16S ribosomal RNA". It matches the Rfam family "Bacterial small subunit ribosomal RNA", at positions 28 to 507 of the family's 1533-position model. The record is from RNAcentral.